This 379-nucleotide ribosomal RNA is filed under the name uncultured crenarchaeote. RNAcentral describes it as "bacterial SSU rRNA". It matches the Rfam family "Archaeal small subunit ribosomal RNA", at positions 472 to 851 of the family's 1478-position model. The record is from RNAcentral. Lineage: Archaea; Thermoproteati; Thermoproteota.
AAUACCAGCACCCCGAGUGGUCGGGACGAUUAUUGGGCCUAAAGCAUCCGUAGCCGGCCCAGUAAGUCCUCCGUUAAAUCCAACGGCUCAACCGUUGGGCUAAACGGGAUACUGCUGGGCUAGGGGACGGGAGAGGCGAGGGGUAUUCCCGGGGUAGGGGUAAAAUCCACUGAUCCCGGGAGGACCACCAGUGGCGAAGGCGCCUCGCUAGAACGUGCCCGACGGUGAGGGAUGAAAGCUGGGGGAGCGAACCGGAUUAGAUACCCGGGUAGUCCCAGCCGUAAACGAUGUAGGCUCGGUGUUGGGCUGCCUCAGUGGCAGCCCAGUGCCGCAGGGAAGCCGUUAAGCCUACCGCCUGGGGAGUACGGCCGCAAGGCUG